GACGAACGCUGGCGGCGUGCCUAAUACAUGCAAGUAGAACGCACAGUUUAUACCGUAGCUUGCUACACCAUAAACUGUGAGUUGCGAACGGGUGAGUAACGCGUAGGUAACCUGCCUGGUAGCGGGGGAUAACUAUUGGAAACGAUAGCUAAUACCGCAUAAUAUUGAUUAUUGCAUGAUAAUUGAUUGAAAGAUGCUAUUGCAUCACUACCAGAUGGACCUGCGUUGUAUUAGCUAGUAGGUGAGGUAACGGCUCACCUAGGCGACGAUACAUAGCCGACCUGAGAGGGUGAUCGGCCACACUGGGACUGAGACACGGCCCAGACUCCUACGGGAGGCAGCAGUAGGGAAUCUUCGGCAAUGGACGAAAGUCUGACCGAGCAACGCCGCGUGAGUGAAGAAGGUUUUCGGAUCGUAAAGCUCUGUUGUAAGAGAAGAACGGGUGUGAGAGUGGAAAGUGCACACUGUGACGGUAUCUUACCAGAAAGGGACGGCUAACUACGU
This 504-nucleotide ribosomal RNA is filed under the name uncultured bacterium. RNAcentral's name for it is "partial 16S ribosomal RNA". It matches the Rfam family "Bacterial small subunit ribosomal RNA", at positions 28 to 506 of the family's 1533-position model. The record is from RNAcentral.